RNAcentral lists this ribosomal RNA (379 nucleotides) under uncultured eukaryote. Its description in RNAcentral is "partial 18S ribosomal RNA". It matches the Rfam family "Eukaryotic small subunit ribosomal RNA", at positions 592 to 975 of the family's 1831-position model. The record is from RNAcentral.
CAAUAGCGUAUAUUAAAGUUGUUGCGGUUAAAAAGCUCGUAGUUGGAUUUCUGCUGAGGACGACCGGUCCGCCCUUCGGGUGAGUAUCUGGUUUGGCCUUGGCAUCUUCUUGGUGAACGUAUCUGCACUUGACUGUGUGGUGCGGUACCCAGGACUUUUACUUUGAGGAAAUUAGAGUGUUUCAAGCAGGCAUACGCCUUGAAUACAUUAGCAUGGAAUAAUAAGAUAGGACCUCGGUUCUAUUUUGUUGGUUUCUAGAGCUGAGGUAAUGAUUAAUAGGGAUAGUUGGGGGCAUUCGUAUUUAACUGUCAGAGGUGAAAUUCUUGGAUUGGCCAACGACGAACUACUGCGAAAGCAUUUGCCAAGGAUGUUUUCAUUG